This is a long non-coding RNA of Hyposmocoma kahamanoa, 599 nucleotides long. RefSeq lists it as uncharacterized. The transcript is spliced from 3 exons. The record is from RefSeq and is a predicted model, not a curated record. Lineage: Eukaryota; Metazoa; Arthropoda; Insecta; Lepidoptera; Cosmopterigidae.
GAUUCAAGGUUCAUUCGGAGCAGUCGUUUCAAUUUUUAAAAACCCUCAAUAAUAAAAAAUGAAGGCGAUUUUUGUUCUACUUCUCGUUGUGAUGGUCUUCUCCGCGUAUGGCAAGUUUAUCCAGAUCAUACAGAUUCGUGAUGAAAACGAGCAAGUGAUGAUACCCUUGAAUGGCUUGAAGACCUUGAAUAUGGAAAGCGUCAAAAAUUCAGUUGGCUGUACACAAUUGGAUUGCGACUUAGUUUGCAUGCUGGCGGGUUACAAGCAUGGGAAAUGUGCUUCUGAUACUACAUGCCUGUGUUGGAAUUAAGUUCUAAAAGAAUCUUUUUUUUUUAAUAAUUUCAUUCUCCCAUUGGAAUGAAGUAUUUUAAAAUAUUCAUGUAUUUCUUAUAAUUACUGUUUAUGUCAAAAUUAAGCAUUGUAAAAUAAGAAUGCUUUUUUCUUGUAACUUCAUUCUCCUGUUGAAAUUAAGCAUUUUACAAUAAUAUUCUUUUUAUAAUUACACUUUCCUAUUGGAAUUAAGUACAUUUAAAAUGAUCCAUAUAAUAUAAUCUUAUAUUAUUUCACGUUUCCGUUGUAAUUAAGAAUUUAUUAAAAUC